Mycena belliarum is the source of this 85-nucleotide non-coding RNA. NCBI's taxonomy places the organism in Eukaryota, Fungi, Basidiomycota, Agaricomycetes, Agaricales, Mycenaceae. The record is from the annotation of a GenBank genome assembly.
GCCUUGAUGGUCUAGUAGUAUGAUUCCUUGUUAGGGACUUCGGUCUAAUUCGAGGAGGUCCUGGGUUCAAUUCCCAGUUGAGGCC